ACGAGGAGCUUGCUCCUCUAACGUUAGCGGCGGACGGGUGAGUAACACGUGGAUAACCUACCUAUAAGACUGGGAUAACUUCGGGAAACCGGAGCUAAUACCGGAUAAUAUAUUGAACCGCGUGGUUCAAUAGUGAAAGACGGUUUUGCUGUCACUUAUAGAUGGAUCCGCGCCGCAUUAGCUAGUUGGUAAGGUAACAGCUUACCAAGGCAACGAUGCGUAGCCGACCUGAGAGGGUGAUCGGCCACACUGGAACUGAGACACGGUCCAGACUCCUACGGGAGGCAGCAGUAGGGAAUCUUCCGCAAUGGGCGAAAGCCUGACGGAGCAACGCCGCGUGAGUGAUGAAGGUCUUCGGAUCGUAAAACUCUGUUAUUAGGGAAGAACAAAUGUGUAAGUAACUAUGCACGUCUUGACGGUACCUAAUCAGAAAGCCACGGCUAACUACGUGCCAGCAGCCGCGGUAAUACGUAGGUGGCAAGCGUUAUCCGGAAUUAUUGGGCGUAAAGCGCGCGUAGGCGGUUUUUUAAGUCUGAUGUGAAAGCCCACGGCUCAACCGUGGAGGGUCAUUGGAAACUGGAAAACUUGAGUGCAGAAGAGGAAAGUGGAAUUCCAUGUGUAGCGGUGAAAUGCGCAGAGAUAUGGAGGAACACCAGUGGCGAAGGCGACUUUCUGGUCUGUAACUGACGCUGAUGUGCGAAAGCGUGGGGAUCAAACAGGAUUAGAUACCCUGGUAGUCCACGCCGUAAACGAUGAGUGCUAAGUGUUAGGGGGUUUCCGCCCCUUAGUGCUGCAGCUAACGCAUUAAGCACUCCGCCUGGGGAGUACGACCGCAAGGUUG
RNAcentral lists this ribosomal RNA (841 nucleotides) under uncultured Staphylococcus sp. Its description in RNAcentral is "bacterial SSU rRNA". It matches the Rfam family "Bacterial small subunit ribosomal RNA", at positions 71 to 896 of the family's 1533-position model. The record is from RNAcentral. Lineage: Bacteria; Bacillati; Bacillota; Bacilli; Caryophanales; Staphylococcaceae.